UAGAUGCGAUCUGGUUUCCCUGAUACAU
This 28-nucleotide small RNA is filed under the name Bombyx mori (domestic silkworm). RNAcentral's name for it is "ovarian small RNA-22138". The record is from RNAcentral. Lineage: Eukaryota; Metazoa; Arthropoda; Insecta; Lepidoptera; Bombycidae.